Macaca mulatta (Rhesus monkey) is the source of this 551-nucleotide non-coding RNA. Lineage: Eukaryota; Metazoa; Chordata; Mammalia; Primates; Cercopithecidae. The record is from RefSeq and is a predicted model, not a curated record.
UUCGAGUUGGGUCUGUGAGGGAUGAAAUAGGAGUUGGCCAGAGGGAGAGAGAGGGACUCUAGGCCUCGAGAAGAGCACGUGCAGAGGUUCCGUGACACGAAAACGCCAGAACUGGCUGACUCUUGGGUGCUUGGAGACACUAUAUAAAUAAGGAACUCUGGCUGUGUGCAUUGGAGAAGAUAUUAACAGGGCUUGGCCUGGCUGUGAGGUGCAGAGAUGCUGUUUCUCUCAGGUAAGGAGUCAUAUUGGGGCAGGGUUUCCUAAUCCUUUUUUGACUCACAAAAUACACCUAGGAAAUACUAAAUAAAUUGUCAUUUUUGAGUAGUAUAUGAUAAAGAAGUGAUUGAUUUUGACUAAAAAUAUUCAUGUUCUACUUUUAGAAUAUGAAAGACUGUAUUACAAAGAUCACUUGAAAUAAAAUUUUAGAUAACAUAAUAUAUGGAGACAAAUUUCUGCUUUUUACAUUUAACUUGCUCUUUAAUGUAUCUCAAAUUAAUUAUGUAAGAGAAAUAUUAUUUGACCAAUAAAUAUAAAAAAGUGUUAUACCAUGA